GAUGAACGCUGGCGGCAUGCCUAACACAUGCCAGUCGAUCGGUAAGGCUCUUCGGAGUACACGAGAGGCGGACGGCUGAGUAACGCGUAGGAACACACCCUGCAGUGAGGGAUAAGACACCGAAAGGUGUUCUAAUACCGCAUACGGUCUUCGGAUUAAAGCAUUUAUGCGCUGAAGGAGUGGCCUGCGUCAUAUUAGAUAGUUGGUGAGGUAAUGGCUCACCAAGUCGAUGAUGUGUAGCUGGUCUGAGAGGAUGAUCAGCCAGACUGGAACUGAGACACGGUCCAGACUCCUACGGGAGGCAGCAGUGAGGAAUAUUUCACAAUGAGCGAAAGCUUGAUGGAGCAAUGCCGCGUGCAGGAUGAAGGCCCUCGGGUUGUAAACUGCUUUUAUAAGAGAAGAUUAUGACGGUAACUUAUGGAUAAGGGACGGCUAACUACGUG
RNAcentral lists this ribosomal RNA (443 nucleotides) under uncultured bacterium. Its description in RNAcentral is "partial 16S ribosomal RNA". It matches the Rfam family "Bacterial small subunit ribosomal RNA", at positions 28 to 507 of the family's 1533-position model. The record is from RNAcentral.